RNAcentral lists this transfer RNA (74 nucleotides) under Prunus persica (peach). RNAcentral describes it as "tRNA-Asp". The record is from RNAcentral. Lineage: Eukaryota; Viridiplantae; Streptophyta; Magnoliopsida; Rosales; Rosaceae. RNAcentral also lists the same sequence under 3 other names.
GUCACGGUAUGAAAGGUAGUUCGCAGGCCUGUCUUUUGAUCCUAGAAAUACAGGUUCGAAUCCUGUUCGUGACU